CUCCAUAGAUCUAGGAUGCUGGAAUGCACUUAGAUUGAAAGCUCCGGCGCCUAAGGAUGAGUCUGCGGACUAUCAGGUAGUAGUCAGGGUAAAGACCUGACUAGCCUACGACGGAUACGGGUUGUGAGAGCAAUAACCCGGAGACGAUAUCUGAGACACGAUAUCGGGCCCUACGGGGCGCAGCAGGCGCGAAAACUUCACACUGUGCGAAAGCACGAUGAGGGAAUCCCAAGUGCCGACUCGUAAGAGUUGGCUGUUUCUCUGUCUAAAAAACAGAGAGAGUAAGAGCUGGGUAAGACGGGUGCCAGCCGCCGCGGUAAUACCUGCAGCUCAAGUGGUGGCCACUAUUAUUGGGCCUAAAACGUCCGUAGCCGGUUUAAUAAAUGCCGGGGUAAAUCGUGUAGCUUAACUAUACGAAUUCCGGGUAGACUGUUAGACUUGAGACCGGGAGAAGCUAGAGGUACUCCUGGGGUAGAGGUGAAAUUCUGUAAUCCUAGGGGGACCACCAGUGGCGAAGGCGUCUAGCUAGAACGGGUCUGACGGUGAGGGACGAAGCCCUGGGGCGCGAACCGGAUUAGAUACCCGGGUAGUCCAGGGUGUAAACGCUGCUUGCUUGAUGUUAGUUGGGCUCCGAGCCCAAUUAGUGUCGGAGAGAAGUUGUUAAGCAAGCUGCCUGGGAAGUACGGCCGCAAGACUGAAACUUAAAGGAAUUGGCGGGGGAGCACAGCAACGGGUGGAGC
Molecule: ribosomal RNA, 740 nt
Filed under: uncultured archaeon
Lineage: Archaea
Description: bacterial SSU rRNA
Rfam family: Archaeal small subunit ribosomal RNA
Source: RNAcentral